Molecule: ribosomal RNA, 253 nt
Filed under: uncultured bacterium
Lineage: Bacteria
Description: partial 16S ribosomal RNA
Rfam family: Bacterial small subunit ribosomal RNA
Source: RNAcentral
UACGAAGGGUGCUAGCGUUGCUCGGAAUCACUGGGCGUAAAGCGCGCGUAGGCGGAUUGCUAAGUCAGGGGUGAAAUCCUGGAGCUCAACUCCAGAACUGCCUUUGAUACUGGCGAUCUCGAGUCCGGGAGAGGUGAGUGGAACUGCGAGUGUAGAGGUGAAAUUCGUAGAUAUUCGCAAGAACACCAGUGGCGAAGGCGGCUCACUGGCCCGGUACUGACGCUGAGGUGCGAAAGCGUGGGGAGCAAACAGG